Molecule: ribosomal RNA, 274 nt
Filed under: uncultured bacterium
Lineage: Bacteria
Description: partial 16S ribosomal RNA
Rfam family: Bacterial small subunit ribosomal RNA
Source: RNAcentral
AUACGGAGGGGGUUAGCGUUAUUCGGAAUUACUGGGCGUAAAGCGAACGCAGGCGGCCCGGCAAGUCGGGUGUGAAAGCCCGGGGCUCAACCCCGGAAUUGCACUCGAAACUGCCGGCCUCGAGUACGGGAGAGGGAAGCGGAAUUCCUAGUGUAGAGGUGAAAUUCGUAGAUAUUAGGAGGAACACCCGUGGCGAAAGCGGCUUCCUGGCCCGAUACUGACGCUCAUGUUCGAAAGCGUGGGGAGCAAACAGGAUUAGAAACCCCAGUAGUCC